UUCCUUGCUGUGUAGAAGCUUCUUUAUGAUUGAAGAAUAGAAAUAUCCGAAUGGAAAGAUUGAUUGUCAGGACAGAAGCCCAUGGCAGAUUUAACCAACAGACAAAUCACAAAGGGGAUAACUGUGUGGAAUGCUGGAGAGAAGUCACAGGCUGUGCUGGCCCUUUGGGGACAGCUGACACCAGCUAUCAGCGGCAUUCUGAGCCUGCUGCCCACUUAUUCCUGGAAGUCUCUGCAGGGUUGCCAGCCAAAGGUGGUAGCUGAACGCCCAGAGCAGAGCCUCAGUGAGCUCGGUGAUCACUUGUCGCCUAUCAAUGAAGAAGCUGUGAAACCUGAACCUGCACACCCGCUUGUCCAGGACUCGCCCCAGCCAGCCCUACUUCAGUGACUCCAUGCCCCACAUGCUUAGUCAUCGCAGUGCAAUUCAACAAGAUUUCUUUCUUGUGCUUUGGUGGAGAUGUUAAAGGAAAGCGGAGUGAUACCCACACUUUAAUGCAGUUCAGUCUACAACCUACAAGAAUUAGUUCGAUUCCAACCACCAAGUUUCAUCACGGCUGUGUCCUGGUCUGCUGCA
Long non-coding RNA from Molossus molossus (Pallas's mastiff bat), 573 nucleotides. RefSeq lists it as uncharacterized. The transcript has 3 exons. Lineage: Eukaryota; Metazoa; Chordata; Mammalia; Chiroptera; Molossidae. The record is from RefSeq and is a predicted model, not a curated record.